This 76-nucleotide microRNA precursor is filed under the name Myotis lucifugus (little brown bat). RNAcentral describes it as "mir-9229 microRNA precursor family". It matches the Rfam family "mir-9229 microRNA precursor family". Lineage: Eukaryota; Metazoa; Chordata; Mammalia; Chiroptera; Vespertilionidae. The record is from Rfam by way of RNAcentral.
GAGACACCCUUAUAGGGCAGGACGUGCUUCAGUGGGGCUUUGGUGCUCACUGAGUCUUCCCCCUGAGUGUGUCUCU